CCGAUAUAGCUCAGUUGGUAGAGCAACUCAUUCGUAAUGAGUAGGUCGGGAGUUCGAAUCUCCCUAUCGG
This 70-nucleotide transfer RNA is filed under the name human gut metagenome. It matches the Rfam family "tRNA". Rfam says of the family: Transfer RNA (tRNA) molecules are approximately 80 nucleotides in length. Their secondary structure includes four short double-helical elements and three loops (D, anti-codon, and T loops). The record is from RNAcentral.